UAGAUCAGUGAUGACACAGGUGAUAUAUGAUCCAUGGAGCAUGACUACAGGUCUGGGAGUCUGAACUUCAC
This is a small nucleolar RNA of Phodopus roborovskii (desert hamster), 71 nucleotides long. RefSeq annotates it as small nucleolar RNA SNORD113/SNORD114 family. The record is from RefSeq and is a predicted model, not a curated record. The transcript has a single exon. Lineage: Eukaryota; Metazoa; Chordata; Mammalia; Rodentia; Cricetidae.